GCCUACAGUCAUAACACCCUGAAAGCUCUCAAUAUUAUCUCAUCUCAAAAGCUAAGUAGGGUUGGGCCUGGUUAGUACUUGGAUGGGAAUACUGAGGAAAUAAGAGGUGAUUUGGGAU
This 118-nucleotide ribosomal RNA is filed under the name Pongo abelii (Sumatran orangutan). Lineage: Eukaryota; Metazoa; Chordata; Mammalia; Primates; Hominidae. The record is from RNAcentral.